UGGGUGUGAACAGUAAUAACCUUGAUCAGCCACUCUGUGGGUAUACUUAUGUCUUUCAAUUUUCGUUUCUCAUCUAGUUUCUUAAGCAGCGACGAAGAUGCAAUUACUGGAUCUCUUGGCCGUGAGGUAUGCCCAGCGACUGAUAGUAGGACAUAGAUCUGUCUGGUUAUUUUCUCCAUGGAGAGUUUAGAUCUCUCUCACACUCAUCAGAAAAAUGGAAGGCUUGAGCAGAACAGAUUCAAGAGGGUUUACACAGGAUACAGGCCUUCUGGUGAACGAUGGCUCGAAGCAGAUAAGCACGUAUCAGCACAGAAGCAGGGAGCAUUUUUAUCGAUACGUUGUUUGGUGCGCCCUUUUGGCAUCUCCGAAUUCUGUGCUACUUGGAUAUGGUAUUCUUUACUUAGCAUUGAGUUUUAACUUUGUGUCUUCCAGACAUUGGUAUCAUGAGCGGCGUAGAGGCCUUUU
RNAcentral lists this long non-coding RNA (465 nucleotides) under Selaginella moellendorffii. RNAcentral's name for it is "long non-coding RNA (SMOE_LNC001257)". Lineage: Eukaryota; Viridiplantae; Streptophyta; Lycopodiopsida; Selaginellales; Selaginellaceae. The record is from RNAcentral.